This 435-nucleotide ribosomal RNA is filed under the name uncultured bacterium. RNAcentral's name for it is "partial 16S ribosomal RNA". It matches the Rfam family "Bacterial small subunit ribosomal RNA", at positions 341 to 792 of the family's 1533-position model. The record is from RNAcentral.
ACGGAAGGCAGCAGUGGGGAAUAUUGGGCAAUGGGGGAAACCCUGACCCAGCAACGCCGCGUGCGGGAAGACGGUCUUCGGAUUGUAAACCGCUUUUCUUAGUGAAGAAUUUUGACGGUAGCUAAGGAAUAAGCAUCGGCUAACUACGUGCCAGCAGCCGCGGUAAUACGUAGGAUGCAAGCGUUGUCCGGAUUUACUGGGUGUAAAGGGAGCGCAGGCGGGACUGCAAGUUGGAUGUGAAAUGUCGAGGCUUAACCUCGGAACUGCAUCCAAAACUGUAGUUCUUGAGUGGAGUAGAGGCAAGCGGAAUUCCGAGUGUAGCGGUGAAAUGCGUAGAUAUUCGGAGGAACACCAGUGGCGAAGGCGGCUUGCUGGGCUUUAACUGACGCUGAGGCUCGAAAGUGUGGGGAGCAAACAGGAUUAGAUACCCUGGUA